AACGAACGCUGGCGGCAUGCCUAACACAUGCAAGUCGAACGAGAUCUUCGGGUCUAGUGGCGCACGGGUGCGUAACGCGUGGGAAUCUGCCCUUUGGUUCGGAAUAACAGUUGGAAACGACUGCUAAUACCGGAUGAUGACGAAAGUCCAAAGAUUUAUCGCCAGAGGAUGAGCCCGCGUAGGAUUAGCUAGGUGGUGUGGUAAAGGCGCACCAAGGCGACGAUCCUUAGCUGGUCUGAGAGGAUGAUCAGCCACAAUGGGACUGAGACACGGCCCGGACUCCUACGGGAGGCAGCGGUGGGGAAUAUUGGACAAUGGGCGAAAGCCUGAUCCAGCAAUGCCGCGUGAGUGAUGAAGGCCUUAGGGUUGUAAAGCUCUUUUACCCGGGAUGAUAAUGACAGUACCGGGAGAAUAAGCUCCGGCUAACUCCGUGCCAGCCGCCGCGGUAA
This 449-nucleotide ribosomal RNA is filed under the name uncultured bacterium. Its description in RNAcentral is "partial 16S ribosomal RNA". It matches the Rfam family "Bacterial small subunit ribosomal RNA", at positions 29 to 523 of the family's 1533-position model. The record is from RNAcentral.